UACGUAGGGACCAAGCGUUGUUCGGAUUUACUGGGCGUAAAGGGCGCGUAGGCGGCGAAUCAAGUCAGCUGUGAAAUCUCCGAGCUUAACUCAGAACGGUCAGCUGAUACUGUUUUGCUAGAGUGCAGAAAGGGCAACCGGAAUUCUUGGUGUAGCGGUGAAAUGCGUAGAUAUCAAGAGGAACACCUGAGGCGAAGGCGGGUUGCUAGGCUGACACUGACGCUGAAGCGCGAAAGCUAGGGUAGCAAACGGG
RNAcentral lists this ribosomal RNA (253 nucleotides) under uncultured bacterium. RNAcentral's name for it is "partial 16S ribosomal RNA". It matches the Rfam family "Bacterial small subunit ribosomal RNA", at positions 524 to 776 of the family's 1533-position model. The record is from RNAcentral.